AGCUAAUAGAUACCCCGGUAGUCCACGCUGUAAACGAUGAUGACUAGCUGUCUGGGCGCUUAGCGUUCAGGUGGCGCAGCUAACGCGUUAAGUCAUCCGCCUGGGGAGUACGGCCGCAAGGUUAAAACUCAAAGAAAUUGACGGGGGCCUGCACAAGCGGUGGAGCAUGUGGUUUAAUUCGAAGCAACGCGCAGAACCUUACCAGCGUUUGACAUGCCAGGACGGUUUCCAGAGAUGGAUUCCUUCCCUUACGGGACCUGGACACAGGUGCUGCAUGGCUGUCGUCAGCUCGUGUCGUGACGAUGUUGGGUUAAGUCCCGNAACGAGCGCAACCCUCGUCUUAGUUGCUACCGAUUCAGUUGGGCACUCUAA
RNAcentral lists this ribosomal RNA (372 nucleotides) under uncultured bacterium. Its description in RNAcentral is "bacterial SSU rRNA". It matches the Rfam family "Bacterial small subunit ribosomal RNA", at positions 774 to 1143 of the family's 1533-position model. The record is from RNAcentral.